Molecule: ribosomal RNA, 468 nt
Filed under: uncultured bacterium
Lineage: Bacteria
Description: partial 16S ribosomal RNA
Rfam family: Bacterial small subunit ribosomal RNA
Source: RNAcentral
GACGAACGCUGGCGGCGUGCUUAACACAUGCAAGUCGAACGGAAAGGCCCUGCUUUUGUGGGGUGCUCGAGUGGCGAACGGGUGAGUAACACGUGAGUAACCUGCCCUUGACUUUGGGAUAACUUCAGGAAACUGGGGCUAAUACCGGAUAGGAGCUCCUGCUGCUUGGUGGGGGUUGGAAAGUUUCGGCGGUUGGGGAUGGACUCGCGGCUUAUCAGCUUGUUGGUGGGGUAGUGGCUUACCAAGGCUUUGACGGGUAGCCGGCCUGAGAGGGUGACCGGCCACAUUGGGACUGAGAUACGGACCAGACUCCUACGGGAGGCAGCAGUGGGGAAUAUUGCACAAUGGGCGGAAGCCUGAUGCAGCAACGCCGCGUGCGGGAUGACGGCCUUCGGGUUGUAAACCGCUUUCGCCUGUGACGAAGCGUGAGUGACGGUAAUGGGUAAAGAAGCACCGGCUAACUACGUG